CAACUUUCGACAACGGAUCUCUUGGCUCUCGCAUCGAUGAAGAACGCAGCGAAAUGCGAUAAGUAAUGUGAAUUGCAGAAUUCAGUGAAUCAUCGAAUCUUUGAACGCACCUUGCGCCCUUUGGUAUUCCGAGGGGCAUGCCUGUUUGAG
This 150-nucleotide ribosomal RNA is filed under the name Schizophyllum commune. Its description in RNAcentral is "5.8S ribosomal RNA". It matches the Rfam family "5.8S ribosomal RNA". Rfam says of the family: 5.8S ribosomal RNA (5.8S rRNA) is a component of the large subunit of the eukaryotic ribosome. It is transcribed by RNA polymerase I as part of the 45S precursor that also contains 18S and 28S rRNA. Functionally, it is thought that 5.8S rRNA may be involved in ribosome translocation. The record is from RNAcentral. Lineage: Eukaryota; Fungi; Basidiomycota; Agaricomycetes; Agaricales; Schizophyllaceae.